UCCGGGAAACCGGUUUUAAUACCGAAUAGUUUAUCCUCCCUCAUGGGCGGAUACGGAAAGACGGUUUCGGCUGUCACUGCAGGAUUGGCCCGCGGCGCAUUUAGCUAGUUGGUGGGGUAACGGCCCACCAAGGCCACGAUGCGUAGCCGACCUGAGAGGGUGAUCUGCCACACUGGGACUGAGACACGGCCCAGACUCCUACGGGAGGCAGCAGUAGGGAAUCUUCCGCAAUGGACGCAAGUCUGAUGGAGCAA
Molecule: ribosomal RNA, 254 nt
Filed under: Planomicrobium okeanokoites
Lineage: Bacteria; Bacillati; Bacillota; Bacilli; Caryophanales; Caryophanaceae
Description: partial 16S ribosomal RNA
Rfam family: Bacterial small subunit ribosomal RNA
Source: RNAcentral